RNAcentral lists this transfer RNA (84 nucleotides) under Rhodospirillales bacterium. RNAcentral describes it as "tRNA-Leu". Lineage: Bacteria; Pseudomonadati; Pseudomonadota; Alphaproteobacteria; Rhodospirillales. The record is from RNAcentral.
GCCUGACAAUGGUAUGGUCUGAUAUUAAGGUUUGGCUGAUUCGUAAUCAGUAGGUCCGGAGUUCAAAUCUCCGCGUCGGCACCA